GUGCAUGUCUGUUUUGAUGGAACACUUUGAAUGUUUGCGCCCCCCUUUUGACAGUCCCUUUCUAUUUGUGCGUAAUCGCAAGAUGAUGCAAGUGAGGGUGCUGUGGCUGCCCAAACUGGAACUACUGUAUCCCCUACGACUGAAGUCUGAUUCGACUGCUCCUCUGGUCACAAUGACCUGUCUGGACUUUGUGCCUCUACAUGUUGACUGCAAUAAAGGACAGAUUUGUAUUU
Long non-coding RNA from Clupea harengus (Atlantic herring), 233 nucleotides. RefSeq lists it as uncharacterized. The record is from RefSeq and is a predicted model, not a curated record. The transcript has 2 exons. Lineage: Eukaryota; Metazoa; Chordata; Actinopteri; Clupeiformes; Clupeidae.